CCCUUAGAUGUUCUGGGCCGCACACGCGCUACACUGAAGGAGGCAGCGUGUACUCCUGGAUCGAAAGAUUUGGGUAACCCGCGAAUCUCCUUCGUGCUAGGGAUUGAGGUUUGCAAUUAUCCUUCAUGAACGAGGAAUUCCCAGUAAGUGCAAGUCAUAAGCUUGCGCUGACUACGUCCCUGCCCUUUGUACACACCGCCCGUCGCUACUACCGAUUGAAUGAUUUAGUGAGGACUUCGGACUGGGACCGAUGCGGCUUUCGGGCUGCGUCGGUAUUCUGGAAAGAUGUCAAAACUGUAUCAUUUAGAGGAAGUAAAAGUCGUAACA
Molecule: ribosomal RNA, 327 nt
Filed under: uncultured eukaryote
Lineage: Eukaryota
Description: partial 18S ribosomal RNA
Rfam family: Eukaryotic small subunit ribosomal RNA
Source: RNAcentral